GAAAUCCUGACCUCAGGUGGUCCACCUGCCUCGGCCUCCCAAAGUGCUGGGAUUACAGGUGAAGUUUUAGUACAGCUUGGUGACCUUGGAAAGCCUGUUCUGCUUCUGACGAUACUGGCCUGAGCCUGUGGGUACACAGUGUCAUUGAGACUAGCUGUGCAUAAAAGACCCUCCUCCAGAUCCAGCUUCAUCAAGACCUUGAAGCAGCU
Molecule: long non-coding RNA, 209 nt
Filed under: Pongo abelii (Sumatran orangutan)
Lineage: Eukaryota; Metazoa; Chordata; Mammalia; Primates; Hominidae
Description: lincRNA
Source: RNAcentral